AGUGAACGCUGGCGGUAGGCCUAACACAUGCAAGUCGAACGGCAGCACAGUAAGAGCUUGCUCUUACGGGUGGCGAGUGGCGGACGGGUGAGGAAUACAUCGGAAUCUACUUUUUCGUGGGGGAUAACGUAGGGAAACUUACGCUGAUACCGCAUACGACCUACGGGUGGAAGCAGGGGAUCUUCGGACCUUGCGCGAUUGAAUGAGCCGAUGUCGGAUUAGCUAGUUGGCGGGGUAAAGGCCCACCAAGGCGACGAUCCGUAGCUGGUCUGAGAGGAUGAUCAGCCACACUGGAACUGAGACACGGUCCAGACUCCUACGGGAGGCAGCAGUGGGGAAUAUUGGACAAUGGGCGCAAGCCUGAUCCAGCCAUACCGCGUGGGUGAAGAAGGCCUUCGGGUUGUAAAGCCCUUUUGUUGGGAAAGAAAAGCAGCAGGUUAAUACCCCGCUGUUCUGACGGUACCCAAAGAAUAAGCACCGGCUAACUUCGUG
Molecule: ribosomal RNA, 492 nt
Filed under: uncultured bacterium
Lineage: Bacteria
Description: partial 16S ribosomal RNA
Rfam family: Bacterial small subunit ribosomal RNA
Source: RNAcentral